CCGGCGACCGGCGCACGGGUGAGUAACACGUAUGGAACCUGCCCGCAGCAGGGGGAUAAGCGGAAGAAAUUCCGUCUAAUACCGCGUAACACCGCGGAGGGGCAUCCCUCGGCGGUUAAAGAUUCAUCGGCUGCGGAUGGCCAUGCGGCGCAUUAGCUAGACGGCCGGGGUGACGGCCCACCGUGGCGACGAUGCGUAGGGGUUCUGAGAGGAAGGUCCCCCACACUGGUACUGAGACACGGACCAGACUCCUACGGGAGGCAGCAG
This 267-nucleotide ribosomal RNA is filed under the name uncultured bacterium. Its description in RNAcentral is "partial 16S ribosomal RNA". It matches the Rfam family "Bacterial small subunit ribosomal RNA", at positions 88 to 354 of the family's 1533-position model. The record is from RNAcentral.